UUCAACUGAAGAGUUUGAUCAUGGCUCAGAUUGAACGCUGGCGGCAGGCCUAACACAUGCAAGUCGAGCGGAAACGAUCCUAGCUUGCUAGGAGGCGUCGAGCGGCGGACGGGUGAGUAACGCAUAGGAAUCUACCCAGUCGUGGGGGAUAACCUGAGGAAACUCAGGCUAAUACCGCAUACGUCCUACGGGAGAAAGCGGGGGCUCUUCGGACCUCGCGCGAUUGGAUGAGCCUAUGUCGGAUUAGCUAGUUGGUCAGGUAACGGCUUACCAAGGCGACGAUCCGUAGCUGGUCUGAGAGGAUGAUCAGCCACACCGGGACUGAGACACGGCC
This 334-nucleotide ribosomal RNA is filed under the name Chromohalobacter israelensis. RNAcentral's name for it is "bacterial SSU rRNA". It matches the Rfam family "Bacterial small subunit ribosomal RNA", at positions 1 to 331 of the family's 1533-position model. The record is from RNAcentral. Lineage: Bacteria; Pseudomonadati; Pseudomonadota; Gammaproteobacteria; Oceanospirillales; Halomonadaceae.